AUUGGAGGGCAAGUCUGGUGCCAGCAGCCGCGGUAAUUCCAGCUCCAAUAGCGUAUAUUAAAGUUGUUGUGGCUAAAAAGCUCGUAGUUGAACCUUGGGCCUGGCUGGCCGGUCCGCCUCACCGCGUGUACUGGUCCGGCCGGGCCUUUCCCUCUGUGGAACCUCAUGUCCUUCACUGGGCGUGACGGGGAAACAGGACUUUUACUGUGAAAAAAUUAGAGUGCUCCAGGCAGGCCUACGCUCGAAUACAUUAGCAUGGAAUAAUGAAAUAGGACGUGCGGUUCUAUUUUGUUGGUUUCUAGGACCGCCGUAAUGAUUAAUAGGGACAGUCGGGGGCAUCAGUAUUCAAUUGUCAGAGGUGAAAUUCUUGGAUUUAUUGGAGACUAACUACUGCGAAAGCAUUUGCCAAGGAUGUUUUCAUUAAUCAGGAACGAAAGUUAGGGGAUCGAAGACGAUCAGAUACCGUCGUAGUCUUAACCAUAAACUAUGCCGACUAGGGAUCAC
Molecule: ribosomal RNA, 504 nt
Filed under: uncultured Simplicillium
Lineage: Eukaryota; Fungi; Ascomycota; Sordariomycetes; Hypocreales; Cordycipitaceae
Description: SSU rRNA
Rfam family: Eukaryotic small subunit ribosomal RNA
Source: RNAcentral